Long non-coding RNA from Drosophila yakuba, 1588 nucleotides. RefSeq lists it as uncharacterized. NCBI's taxonomy places the organism in Eukaryota, Metazoa, Arthropoda, Insecta, Diptera, Drosophilidae. The record is from RefSeq and is a predicted model, not a curated record. The transcript has 3 exons.
GAACAGACCGAAGGUCACUUUUCUUGGGCACUAUAUUUGUUGAAUUAGCUCCGCCUUAGCAUGUUCAAAAAUAAAGGACAAGUGUGCAAACGAGUUAUUGAACGAAUAUCUAUCGGUUGAACUCACCUGCAACGGAAAGACCAAGAACAAAUUCAUUAGCGAGUCAGGCACAUUAUCCGCAAUUAGUUAGGCCCCAGCAGACAAAUCUGCAAAGCAAGCAAACAAACUGCGAACUGCUAAACCAUAAAACCAGAAAAGUCGUCCAACUUUUCCAGCAAACGACCCAACAACAACCGCCCGAAAAAAAGCCCGCUCCUCCCCCUCACCGAUUUCGUCCGAACAAGGAUGCUGUCCUGGAGCUGCUUCCUCGUGGCGAGUAUAUCAAAACUUGUUCCUUGUUUGCCGCAGUUUUGUGCGAGCGGGCAGCGCGGAAAGUUUGCUUCUGCGGAAGCUAGGCGGGUGGCUAUCGGAAAUUCCGUGUUAUGCGCCGCCUUGCAUUUGUGUUUUCGAUGGUCCUGCAGCCGGACCGCCGGUGUAGGCAGUCCUGUCAACGGUGACCGGCGGAUGUCGGGCAGCUGGAUUUUAACGCUAGACUAUAGACGGUGGAGAGAUAUGGCACCUGAGGAUUGGGCUUGGUUUCAGUUCCUUGACUAUCAGAUACCCAUUAUUCAGCCAAAGAGAUGGUGGAGCUGUGCAAAGCGAGUGCUGUUGCAAGCAGUAAUGAGACUUGCUUAGAAAAUGCACGUCAGAUGACAUUACUAGCUAAUAUUUAUUUAAUUAACCUUAAGUUAACUUUUGAAAAGAAAUACGUCGGAAUUUUCGUCAUGUAUUAGCUUAUCAAUACAUAAUACUUUAAGCAGACAGACGUUAGCGUUUUGGGUGCCCUAUCUUAACUUACUAGCUUUUAUAGUUUGGUUUGUACGGGCAAAACUUUUCGGUUUUUGACUUAAGCCACCCUAACCUCAGUAAAAUUGGAAUAGUGGAUGGGUGAGAUUCAAAAAGGGCUUUAACUUUGCGGGCAGACCGCAUCUAAUACAGACACUCCAGCCGAUUAAUUAAUCAAUGCAAAUUUCUCUCCGCAUGACAUUCGUUCGUGAAAAGUUGUCCGGCUGAGUACUUCACUUCACCGGGGCUCCAAGUGCCAUCGAGCCCCACCUAUUGCGCCCACCCACUCCACUAUUUUGCCCUUCACAGCACUCAAAAAGCCACACAACACUUCUGACCAAACGAAGCCCCAUUCCCAUGCACACCCGUUUCCUCAUUUCUGGGAUCGGGCUAAAUUAAAACACGAAUUGAAUUAUACAAAUACAUGAGCCGGGCACAACGAAAUACGGAAUGCGAGCUCUUGCUGAAAUGCACGUGGAAAAACCGCACAAGAGGCCACUCUCCGGUUAAGUUGACCGUAUUUAAUGGGCUUGGUUGGCAGACCUCUUCACUAAUACUGGCGUGUGGAUGUGGGCAUGUGAUUGAGAAGGCGAUGUGUGUGCGUGGCGAGGACCAGGAGCUUGCUCAUAUUUUCAAUAGCUUAAAAUAAUCACUCCUGCCGGGGGGCAGGAUGUAUUGCACACACGCACAGUUCUAAUUAAAC